This 254-nucleotide ribosomal RNA is filed under the name uncultured bacterium. RNAcentral's name for it is "partial 16S ribosomal RNA". It matches the Rfam family "Bacterial small subunit ribosomal RNA", at positions 524 to 776 of the family's 1533-position model. The record is from RNAcentral.
UACGGGGGGGGCAAGCGUUGUUCGGAAUUACUGGGCGUAAAGGGCUCGUAGGCGGCCAACUAAGUCAGACGUGAAAUCCCUCGGCUUAACCGGGGAACUGCGUCUGAUACUGGAUGGCUUGAGUUUGGGAGAGGGAUGCGGAAUUCCAGGUGUAGCGGUAAAAUGCGUAGAUAUCUGGAGGAACACCGGUGGCGAAGGCGGCAUCCUGGACCAACACUGACGCUGAGUGAGCGAAAGCCAGGGGAGCAAACGGG